RNAcentral lists this small nucleolar RNA (172 nucleotides) under Sphenodon punctatus (tuatara). Its description in RNAcentral is "Small nucleolar RNA SNORD97 (ENSSPUG00000013949.1)". It matches the Rfam family "Small nucleolar RNA SNORD97". The record is from Rfam by way of RNAcentral. Lineage: Eukaryota; Metazoa; Chordata; Lepidosauria; Sphenodontia; Sphenodontidae.
UUGCCCAAUGAUUAUAGAAAGACGCGUUAUUACGAGGACCAGUGCUGGAACUCUACUUUUAUCUUCCCUCUGCUCUUGCUUUCUCCUUUCUCUCUUCUUUCUUCUACCUUUAUUCCUCCUUUUUCUGGGGUGUCCAGUGUCCUGUGAGCAAGAUUAUGAGAUAUGAGGGCAA